Molecule: ribosomal RNA, 484 nt
Filed under: uncultured bacterium
Lineage: Bacteria
Description: partial 16S ribosomal RNA
Rfam family: Bacterial small subunit ribosomal RNA
Source: RNAcentral
AUUGAACGCUGGCGGAAUGCUUUACACAUGCAAGUCGAACGGCAGCACGGGGGCAGCCCUGGUGGCGAGUGGCGAACGGGUGAGUAAUACAUCGGAACGUGCCCGGUCGUGGGGGAUAACGUAGCGAAAGUUACGCUAAUACCGCAUACGAUCUGAGGAUGAAAGCGGGGGACCUUCGGGCCUCGCGCGAUCGGAGCGGCCGAUGUCAGAUUAGGUAGUUGGUGGGGUAAAGGCCUACCAAGCCGACGAUCUGUAGCUGGUCUGAGAGGACGACCAGCCACACUGGGACUGAGACACGGCCCAGACUCCUACGGGAGGCAGCAGUGGGGAAUUUUGGACAAUGGGCGCAAGCCUGAUCCAGCCAUUCCGCGUGCAGGACGAAGGCCUUCGGGUUGUAAACUGCUUUUGUACGGAACGAAAAGGCUCUGGCUAAUACCUGGGGCUCAUGACGGUGCCGUAAGAAUAAGCACCGGCUAACUACGUG